This 2475-nucleotide long non-coding RNA is filed under the name Citrus sinensis (sweet orange). Its description in RNAcentral is "long non-coding RNA (CSIN_LNC001586)". Lineage: Eukaryota; Viridiplantae; Streptophyta; Magnoliopsida; Sapindales; Rutaceae. The record is from RNAcentral.
UUUAAGUAAUUAUUUGUUUUAGUUGAAAAACCCCAAAAAGGGCAGGCGUUAACGUAAGCAAUGGAACGAGUUAACGAAAGAGAAGAUUUCACGCUGGUGACGAGGAAGCCUUAUUUCGGUUUGCCCACGGCAUGCCCAAUUUGCUUACCUGUUUACAUUUAUCUCAAGUUCGCUCGCCUUCCUUUUCACUUGGCCUUCGAUUCUACUUACCCUGACUCCGGUACCCUUUUAUUUUCAUUUUUUCCUUUAAAUUUUCAAGCUCUGCUUUUUCUGCUUCAUGUUCUGUUUUAGGCUUCUGAUUAUGCCCUGUUUCGGCAUUUUUGUAUAGGAUUUUUGGUUGCUUUUCUAAUUGUGUUUUUCGUUUAUUUUGGUAAAUUUGUUGUCUGGGCAAUGCUUAUUUUUGUUCAUUUAAAAUCAAAUGAUUGUCAUUGUGUAUUGUAUUUUGUAAAUGAGAUAAUUUGAACAUUUUUUUUUUCCCAAAACCAUGGGAUAAUUAUUGAAAACACAGUCUUAUGAUUAAUUGGAUAUGUUUAAGCUCAUUGACUAGAAUUUUAACUUGAUUUGUAUGUUCCUUUCCAUUGUUUUUUAUCCAUUAUCAGUAUAUCAUAUGCACGAUGAUUAGAAGUUAUUAAAGACAUGAUUAUCAUAAAAUAUAAAAGAUAAGAUAUUUCUUAAUAAUACUUAAUAAGUGACUACAAAUAAAAUCUAACAAAAACAGUUCUUUUAAGUUCUAUGAAUUGUGCAUUAGUUGUUAAAUCCUAUCAAAUUUAAUGGCAUAAGAAUUUGGCUAAACGUAGAGAUAAGAAUAGGUGGUAAGAAUUGAAGAGUAUAAAUGAGUUUGUACACUAAUUUGACAAUAAAUCAAAGAGUUCAAUAUAUAUAUAUAUAUAUAUAUAUAUAUUUGGGUACUUGAUGCAAAGUAAGAAAUUGAAGAAAUCAUAUUAAUAUUUAGGAAUACUUUAAUUAAUUUAUAUUAUAGUUCAAUUUUAUUACCCUUAUUUGAGUUUGUAUUAUUAAUUUAGGUAUGAGUCUUAUUUAAGUAAGUUUUUUAGUUAAAUUAAGAUAAAUUAUAGUUAUAUAAAUAAAUAUCUUUUCUAUCUUUUACAUGCAGACUUUAGUUAUUUAUUAUUAAUUAUUUCUUGUAAUAAACUCUUGGUUUGAAUUUUGUUCUUUUUAUUUUUUGAUAUUCUGUGUAAUCAAUAAGUUUUAACACCUAUAUUUGUGUAUAUUCUUAAAAUCAAUACAUAUUUAGUUUAUUUGUUUAUUAUAAUUUUUUCAAGAAUUAACAGAAUAUUAAAAAUAUACUCAUCUAUUUAUCACCCCUAUAUAUAUAUAUAUAAUUUUUUUUCCUUCCGCUGCAUUAGUUUCACUAUCAAACCUUCUUUUUUUUAUCCGGUUGUAGAAUUUUUACGCAUCAUUAGUUUGAAAAUUUUAACAAGCCAAAGUCUAUGAACUUUAUAUAUAUAUUUCAAUUUAAUGAUGCAAUAACGUGCCAACGUGCGCUGCGUAGCGCAGGCCUUAUCUUUUGAUGCAUUGUCCACUCUAGUGGGUCCAUUACGAACCCGGUCAGAACCCGAAUUAUAUGUCUACAUAACCGAGCCGCGAGGGGGAAUCCGUACCUAGGACCUUUUUGGGCCUCAAUAAAGUCAGUAGUUUGGCCCAGCCCAUUGGACUGACUUGGCCCAAAUAAAAUAUGCAGGGCUAUUCCAAACCCUCCUCUGUUGCCAUCACCCACCUGCAAAACCCUACUUACUGACACAGUACUUGAAUUCAAAAUCAUUUUAAGUAAUUAUUUGUUUUAGUUGAAAAACCCCAAAAAGGGCAGGCGUUAACGUAAGCAAUGGAACGAGUUAACGAAAGAGAAGAUUUCACGCUGGUGACGAGGAAGCCUUAUUUCGGUUUGCCCACGGCAUGCCCAAUUUGCUUACCUGUUUACAUUUAUCUCAAGUUCGCUCGCCUUCCUUUUCACUUGGCCUUCGAUUCUACUUACCCUGACUCCGGUACCCUUUUAUUUUCAUUUUUUCCUUUAAAUUUUCAAGCUCUGCUUUUUCUGCUUCAUGUUCUGUUUUAGGCUUCUGAUUAUGCCCUGUUUCGGCAUUUUUGUAUAGGAUUUUUGGUUGCUUUUCUAAUUGUGUUUUUCGUUUAUUUUGGUAAAUUUGUUGUCUGGGCAAUGCUUAUUUUUGUUCAUUUAAAAUCAAAUGAUUGUCAUUGUGUAUUGUAUUUUGUAAUUCUAUCUCUGUUAAAGGCCGAAGCUUUUUUUUUUUUUUUAAACUAAUGUUGAUACAAAAUGGAAUCAGUAGCUGGGUGAUUGAUAGACAAUUGUUGUGGAUUAAAAUGGGUCCUUGUCAAAUGUUUGAGGAGACCAGCAGUAAUAAACGUACCUGUUUCGUGCAUAUGACUAUUCGAUGAUUUUUGUUAUCUUUUGAAGGUUUGUAAAAAGUACAUGUUGAUGUUGUAUAGAUUUUAAUGUCAGAU